UCCGAGGCCGGCCGCGUGGCUGGAAGUCAUGGCGCCUUAUGUCUGGGCCAUGCGCAGCGAGCUGUCACUGGCCUUUGGCGAUGGCAAGGCUGCGGAGGUGGAGGGACGGGGUCUUCCUUGAUACGGCGCUAGUACGUUUGGCCUCCCCCCCAGAGGCGAAACGGUGACGAUAGGCCGGUCUCCGUCCUCAUAGGGUGGUUGGGAUUCGCUGAGAUGCUGGGCCUUUCUUUGGCAUCUGCAGAGACAAUGAGAAGCAAACCUGCAGGUUCAAGCUUAAAAGUAAUGAAUGGAGCCCCGGCAUAAAUUAAAGGCGUUGGCUGUGGACUUUGAAAAAAGUCACGGGAAAACCAUCAUCUUAGGAUGCUGGGUGUAAGGAUCUUUGUGAUGAAGUUUCUACAGAUGUUUCUCCUUGCCAGGGACAGUCUCAGCCACGAUUUCUGAGGCUCCAAAGGAUCCUCCGGAAGGAGACACUAGCUAGCCACGUGGUGUCAGCUGCCCUGAGCCCGAAGUGGGACUUCGCUCGUGCAUGUGUCUGCGGCAUGUGGGACAGAACUGAGCUGCUGCUUUGCCUGAAGCAGGUGCAAGGAUUCCUCCUGUUGUUUGUUGUCUCCCAGCGAUGCCAGGCGGGAUCGCACAGCCUCUGCUGCUAAUUGCUCACGCCUGUAAAAUCAGCCCCCAAAAGGAGAAUCACUUAGAGGGUUGUUUGCACUUCAUCUUCACAAGUAGCCAAAGGAUUCGAGUGACAGUGAGCUUUUCCCAGAAGAUCUUGGGUAGUUAGUGAAAUUAGAGGAGAACUAACAAUACUCAGAACUCCAGUUUGGGUGAUCUGGGUACAACUGUAUUGGCGAGAAUCAGUGAUUGUAAAUAGAAAGUAAUUAAUAUGUACAUGCUCUGUUGGGGGAGACUGAGGGGAAACAGGUGCUCAGCCUGGAAAAACAUUUCUCAGUUCAUUUCCUGUGAAGUCACUGUGUCUUAGGCUUAAAUUUUGAAGCACAAAUAAAAUUGUAAAAAAAUUGA
Molecule: long non-coding RNA, 1017 nt
Organism: Equus caballus (horse)
Lineage: Eukaryota; Metazoa; Chordata; Mammalia; Perissodactyla; Equidae
Source: RefSeq, a predicted model, not a curated record